UUGGCUUAGCCAGUAGUCAGAAAGACGAAAGGGUAAAUAUCCUUCCUAGCUGGGAUGUUCAUGAAGUGAUAUGAUUAAAAACUAAAGAAUAGAACUUUUCAGUUAUAUGUAGAUUAUUGUGCAUUUGAAAUUCGAUUAUAUAAAUUAAUAUUUCCACAAUUGUUUGUAUGAUGCUCACUUUGUAAAAGCGUGGACUGUGUGACGAUGCCUUUUACAAUGCUGAUAAAACCAGACAUCAGUUAUAAAAGCUGAACAUCUCUUUAAUGUGUGUGUGUGUGUGUGUGUUUCAGCGUGGUCAGGUGCGGCGGCGGUAUGAGUCUCCAGGUGUGUGUUCAGAUGAUGAUGUGAACAGUGAUGCGUCGAGUGUGUGCUCUGAGCGAUCCUUCAGUUCUCGUAACGGGAGUGCGGCCCCACAUCACCUGCGCCAGACAGAGGACGUGGCGGAAAUCCUGAACCGCUGCGCCAGCGCUAACUGCACUGAGAGGAAAGAGGGACUGAUGAGCCUUCAGAACCUGCUGAAGAACCAGAGAGUGCUCAGUCGUGUGGAGCUGAAGCGCCUGUGUGAAAUCUUCACCAGGAUGUUUGCUGAUCCACACAGCAAGGUGUUCAGCAUGUUUCUGGAGACUCUGCUGGACUUCAUCUCUCUGCACAGAGAGGAUCUGCAG
This 665-nucleotide long non-coding RNA is filed under the name Danio rerio (zebrafish). RNAcentral's name for it is "lncRNA (ENSDARG00000117581.1)". The record is from RNAcentral. Lineage: Eukaryota; Metazoa; Chordata; Actinopteri; Cypriniformes; Danionidae.